CAGGAAGUUCCUGAAUGCGUGACUCAAACUGUAGGACAUGGGGGUUCAAAUAGAGGAUUUUAGGACUCACAGAAGCUGUAAACGUCCCGCUUUGCUAAACACUAAACUCAGUGCUUUGCUCACCACUGCACUGGCGAUGUUUUGGAUAU
Molecule: long non-coding RNA, 149 nt
Organism: Sinocyclocheilus anshuiensis
Lineage: Eukaryota; Metazoa; Chordata; Actinopteri; Cypriniformes; Cyprinidae
Exons: 3
Source: RefSeq, a predicted model, not a curated record